AGUGAACGCUGGCGGUAGGCCUAACACAUGCAAGUCGAACGGCAGCACAGUAAGAGCUUGCUCUUACGGGUGGCGAGUGGCGGACGGGUGAGGAAUACAUCGGAAUCUACUUUUUCGUGGGGGAUAACGUAGGGAAACUUACGCUAAUACCGCAUACGACCUACGGGUGAAAGCAGGGGAUCUUCGGACCUUGCGCGAUUGAAUGAGCCGAUGUCGGAUUAGCUAGUUGGCGGGGUAAAGGCCCACCAAGGCGACGAUCCGUAGCUGGUCUGAGAGGAUGAUCAGCCACACUGGCACUGAGGCACGGUCCAGACUCCUACGGGGGGCAGCAGUGGGGAAUAUUGGACAAUGGGCGCAAGCCGGAUCCAGCCAUACCGCGUGGAUGAAGAAGGCCUUCGGGUUGGAAAGCCCUUUUGUUGGGAAAGAAAAGCAGCAGGUUAAUACCCCGCUGUUCUGACGGUACCCAAAGAAUAAGCACCGGCUAACUUCGUG
Molecule: ribosomal RNA, 492 nt
Filed under: uncultured bacterium
Lineage: Bacteria
Description: partial 16S ribosomal RNA
Rfam family: Bacterial small subunit ribosomal RNA
Source: RNAcentral